Molecule: ribosomal RNA, 475 nt
Filed under: activated sludge bacterium OC20
Lineage: Bacteria
Description: bacterial SSU rRNA
Rfam family: Bacterial small subunit ribosomal RNA
Source: RNAcentral
UGGCUCAGAUUGAACGCUGGCGGCAGGCCUAACACAUGCAAGUCGAGCGGCAGCGGGAAAGUAGCUUGCUACUUUUGCCGGCGAGCGGCGGACGGGUGAGUAAUGCCUGGGAAAUUGCCCAGUCGAGGGGGAUAACAGUUGGAAACGACUGCUAAUACCGCAUACGCCCUACGGGGGAAAGCAGGGGACCUUCGGGCCUUGCGCGAUUGGAUAUGCCCAGGUGGGAUUAGCUAGUUGGUGAGGUAAUGGCUCACCAAGGCGACGAUCCCUAGCUGGUCUGAGAGGAUGAUCAGCCACACUGGAACUGAGACACGGUCCAGACUCCUACGGGAGGCAGCAGUGGGGAAUAUUGCACAAUGGGGGAAACCCUGAUGCAGCCAUGCCGCGUGUGUGAAGAAGGCCUUCGGGUUGUAAAGCACUUUCAGCGAGGAGGAAAGGUCAGUAGCUAAUAUCUGCUGGCUGUGACGUACUCGCA